CCUACGGGCGGCAGCAGUGAGGAAUAUUGGCCAAUGGCCGCAGGGCUGAACCAGCCAAGUCGCGUGAGGGAUUACGGUCCUAUGGAUUGUAAACCUCUUUUGUCAGGGAGCAAAGGGCGCCACGUGUGGCGUUUUGCGAGUACCUGAAGAAAAAGCAUCGGCUAACUCCGUGCCAGCAGCCGCGGUAAUACGGAGGAUGCGAGCGUUGUCCGGAUUUAUUGGGGUUAAGGUGUGCGCAGUGGGAAUGUCAAUUCAGCGGUAAAAUGUCGGGGCUCAACCCCGGAGUGCAGUUGAAACUGGCGUUCUUGAGUGAGCGAGAAGUAAGCGGAAUGCGUGGUGUAGCAGUGAAAUGCAUAGAUAUCACGCAGAACUCCGAUUGCGAAGGCAGCAUACCGGCGCUCAACUGACGCUCAUGCACGAAAGCGUGGGUAUCGAACAGGAUUAGAUACCCUGGUAGUC
This 459-nucleotide ribosomal RNA is filed under the name uncultured bacterium. RNAcentral's name for it is "partial 16S ribosomal RNA". It matches the Rfam family "Bacterial small subunit ribosomal RNA", at positions 338 to 795 of the family's 1533-position model. The record is from RNAcentral.